Molecule: ribosomal RNA, 650 nt
Filed under: uncultured bacterium
Lineage: Bacteria
Description: partial 16S ribosomal RNA
Source: RNAcentral
ACGGCUACCUUGUUACGACUUCACCCCAAUCAUUGAUUCUACCUUCGACUGCUGCCUCUAUAAGUUAGCUCACAGGCUUCGGGUAUCCCCAACUCUCAUGGUGUGACGGGCGGUGUGUACAAGGCCCGGGAACGUAUUCACGGCAGUAUGCUGACCUGCCAUUACUAGCAAUUCCGGCUUCAUGAAGGCGAAUUUCAGCCUUCAAUCCGAACUGAGACUACUUUUUUGGGUUUCGCUUAACGUCUCCGUCUCGCUUCUCUUUGUUAUAGCCAUUGUAGUACGUGUGUAGCCCAGGACAUAAAGGGCAUGAUGAUUUGACGUCGUCCCCACCUUCCUCCGAUUUAUCACCGGCAGUCUACUUAGAGUUCCCACCUUUACGUGCUGGCAACUAAGUAUAGGGGUUGCGCUCGUUGCAGGACUUAACCUAACAUCUCACGACACGAGCUGACGACAACCAUGCACCACCUGUACAGAUGUACCGAAAUACUGACUAAUCUCUUAGCCAUUCAUCUGUAUGUCAAGCCCUGGUAAGGUUCUUCGCGUUGCUUCGAAUUANACCACAUACUCCACUGCUUGUGCGGGCCCCCGUCAAUUCCUUUGAGUUUCAACCUUGCGGUCGUACUCCCCAGGUGGGAUACUUACUGCGUUAG